UGCCAGCAGCCGCGGUAAUACGGAGGGGUCUCUCUUUGUUCGGAAUUACUGGGCGUAAAGCGCACGUAGGCGGAUUGGAAAGUUGGGGGUGAAAUCCCGGGGCUCAACCCCGGAACUGCCUCCAAAACUAUCAGUCUAGAGUUCGAGAGAGGUGAGUGGAAUUCCAAGUGUAGAGGUGAAAUUCGUAGAUAUUUGGAGGAACACCAGUGGCGAAGGCGGCUCACUGGCUCGAUACUGACGCUGAGGUGCGAAAGUGUGGGGAGCACACAGGAUUAGAUA
Molecule: ribosomal RNA, 279 nt
Filed under: uncultured bacterium
Lineage: Bacteria
Description: partial 16S ribosomal RNA
Rfam family: Bacterial small subunit ribosomal RNA
Source: RNAcentral